RNAcentral lists this ribosomal RNA (674 nucleotides) under uncultured bacterium. Its description in RNAcentral is "bacterial SSU rRNA". It matches the Rfam family "Bacterial small subunit ribosomal RNA", at positions 43 to 706 of the family's 1533-position model. The record is from RNAcentral.
CAGGCUUAACACAUGCAAGUCGAGGGGCAGCAUGGUCUUAGCUUGCUAAGGCCGAUGGCGACCGGCGCACGGGUGAGUAACACGUAUCCAACCUGCCGUCUACUCUUGGACAGCCUUCUGAAAGGAAGAUUAAUACAAGAUGGCAUCAUGAGUCCGCAUGUUCACAUGAUUAAAGGUAUUCCGGUAGACGAUGGGGAUGCGUUCCAUUAGAUAGUAGGCGGGGUAACGGCCCACCUAGUCUUCGAUGGAUAGGGGUUCUGAGAGGAAGGUCCCCCACAUUGGAACUGAGACACGGUCCAAACUCCUACGGGAGGCAGCAGUGAGGAGUAUUGGUCAAUGGGCGAGAGCCUGAACCAGCCAAGUAGCGUGAAGGAUGACUGCCCUAUGGGUUGUAAACUUCUUUUAUAAAGGAAUAAAGUCGGGUAUGGAUACCCGUUUGCAUGUACUUUAUGAAUAAGGAUCGGCUAACUCCGUGCCAGCAGCCGCGGUAAUACGGAGGAUCCGAGCGUUAUCCGGAUUUAUUGGGUUUAAAGGGAGCGUAGAUGGAUGUUUAAGUCAGUUGUGAAAGUUUGCGGCUCAACCGUAAAAUUGCAGUUGAUACUGGAUAUCUUGAGUGCAGUUGAGGCAGGCGGAAUUCGUGGUGUAGCGGUGAAAUGCUUAGAUAUCACGAAGAA